CGGGGGGUGGGGGGCUGGGAAUUGGACGCGAUUCACCAACCCUAAACCGAAUCAACAUUGUGGGGUCUUUCUCCGGUGGUUUCCCCCGUGCGGUUUAUAAAAAGAAACUCCGAUGCACUGCGCGUGAAUUCCCAAGUUUGUGUUCACCAAAAAUGCCCCUUGAGAGGUUUGAUGGUGGUGCCGCCAGCGCCUUGACACAGGUGUUUCGCGGCAACCGGUUCUCCUCACCUCUCAGCCACCCCCAAUUUU
This 249-nucleotide non-coding RNA is filed under the name Xanthoceras sorbifolium. The record is from RNAcentral. Lineage: Eukaryota; Viridiplantae; Streptophyta; Magnoliopsida; Sapindales; Sapindaceae.